AUCUCUGUAGAGUCUGCAUAUCAAUAAGCGGAGGAAAAGAAACUAACUAAGGAUUCCCUUAGUAACGGCGAGUGAAGCGGGAAGAGCUCAAAUUUGAAAGUCUUCAAGGUUCUACCUUGACGAAUUGUAGUUUAAAGAAGUGUUUUCUGUUAGAUGAGUAGCAAAAGUUCCUUGGAAUGGGACAUCAUAGAGGGUGAGAAUCCCGUAUUUGGUUAUUCAUUCUAGCUUUGUGAUACACUUUCAAAGAGUCGGAUUGUUUGGGAAUGCAGUCCAAAAUGGGUGGUAAAUUUCAUCUAAAGCUAAAUAUUGGCGAGAGACCGAUAGCGAACAAGUACCGUGAGGGAAAGAUGAAAAGAACUUUGAAAAGAGAGUUAAACAGUACGUGAAAUUGUCAAAAGGGAAGCGUUUGACACCAGUGUUGUUUUUCCGAAAAUCAAUUACGAAUGGCUUGAUUUUGUGUUGUAUUGACCUUAUCAGCUUUCUGCACUUUUUUCGAGUCUUUCUUAAUGCACUUUUCGGUUAACAAGUCAACAUCAAUUUCUUUUGUUGUAAAAGAGUAGUUCGGAAGGUGGCUUUCUUUUCGGAGAAAGUGUUUAUAGCCCUAUAGCUUCUACAAUCGGAGAGAUUGAGGUCUGCAGCGUAGAUCCUUCGGGGUUAGAUACAUUUGUGCUAAGUUGUAGCUUUUCAUAGACAACUUGUUGACUAUGUUUAGUCAUGCGGCUUACUCGCUUAUGCUAUUUUACCUACGCUUAGGAUGUUGACUGAUAUGUAGUCGUA
RNAcentral lists this ribosomal RNA (777 nucleotides) under uncultured Neocallimastigales. Its description in RNAcentral is "partial large subunit ribosomal RNA". It matches the Rfam family "Eukaryotic large subunit ribosomal RNA", at positions 24 to 644 of the family's 3401-position model. The record is from RNAcentral. Lineage: Eukaryota; Fungi; Neocallimastigomycota; Neocallimastigomycetes; Neocallimastigales.